GGAGUGCUUGCACUCUGUGAAACAAGAUACAGGCUAGCGGCGGACGGGUGAGUAACACGUGGGUAACCUGCCCAAGAGAUCGGGAUAACACCUGGAAACAGAUGCUAAUACCGGAUAACAACAGAUGAUGCCUAUCAACUGUUUAAAAGAUGGUUCUGCUAUCACUCUUGGAUGGACCUGCGGUGCAUUAGCUAGUUGGUAGGGUAACGGCCUACCAAGGCGAUGAUGCAUAGCCGAGUUGAGAGACUGAUCGGCCACAUUGGGACUGAGACACGGCCCAAACUCCUACGGGAGGCAGCAGUAGGGAAUCUUCCACAAUGGACGCAAGUCUGAUGGAGCAACGCCGCGUGAGUGAAGAAGGGUUUCGGCUCGUAAAGCUCUGUUGUUGGUGAAGAAGGACAGGGGUAGUAACUGACCUUUGUUUGACGGUAAUCAAUUAGAAAGUCACGGCUAACUACGUGCCAGCAGCCGCGGUAAUACGUAGGUGGCAAGCGUUGUCCGGAUUUAUUGGGCGUAAAGCGAGUGCAGGCGGCUCGAUAAGUCUGAUGUGAAAGCCUUCGGCUCAACCGGAGAAUUGCAUCAGAAACUGUCGAGCUUGAGUACAGGAGAGGAGAGUGGAACUCCAUGUGUAGCGGUGAAAUGCGUAGAUAUAUGGAAGAACACCGGUGGCGAAGGCGGCUCUCUGGUCUGUUACUGACGCUGAGGCUCGAAAGCAUGGGUAGCGAACAGGAUUAGAUACCCUGGUAGUCCAUGCCGUAAACGAUGAGUGCUAAGUGUUGGGAGGUUUCCGCCUCUC
Molecule: ribosomal RNA, 796 nt
Filed under: uncultured bacterium
Lineage: Bacteria
Description: bacterial SSU rRNA
Rfam family: Bacterial small subunit ribosomal RNA
Source: RNAcentral